UACAGAGGGGGCAAGCGUUGUUCGGAAUUACUGGGCGUAAAGGGCGCGUAGGCGGCCUUCUAAGUCGAACGUGAAAUCCCUGGGCUCAACCCGGGAACUGCGUCCGAUACUGGGAGGCUUGAAUCCGGGAGAGGGAUGUGGAAUUCCAGGUGUAGCGGUGAAAUGCGUAGAUAUCUGGAGGAACACCGGUGGCGAAGGCGGCAUCCUGGACCGGUAUUGACGCUGAGGCGCGAAAGCCAGGGGAGCAAACGGG
This 253-nucleotide ribosomal RNA is filed under the name uncultured bacterium. Its description in RNAcentral is "partial 16S ribosomal RNA". It matches the Rfam family "Bacterial small subunit ribosomal RNA", at positions 524 to 776 of the family's 1533-position model. The record is from RNAcentral.